UACAGAGGUCCCAAGCGUUGUUCGGAUUCACUGGGCGUAAAGGGUGCGUAGGUGGUGAGGAAAGUCGGAUGUGAAAUCUCCAAGCUCAACUUGGAAAUGGCAUUGGAAACUACCUUGCUGGAGGUUUGGAGGGGGGACUGGAAUACUUGGUGUAGCAGUGAAAUGCGUAGAUAUCGGGAGGAAUACCGAUGGCGAAGGCAGGUCUCUGGGCUGACACUGACGCUCAUGCACGAAAGCGUGGGGAGCAAACAGG
Molecule: ribosomal RNA, 253 nt
Filed under: uncultured bacterium
Lineage: Bacteria
Description: partial 16S ribosomal RNA
Rfam family: Bacterial small subunit ribosomal RNA
Source: RNAcentral